This 488-nucleotide ribosomal RNA is filed under the name uncultured bacterium. RNAcentral describes it as "bacterial SSU rRNA". It matches the Rfam family "Bacterial small subunit ribosomal RNA", at positions 62 to 543 of the family's 1533-position model. The record is from RNAcentral.
UCGAGCGGUAACAGGCGUAGCAAUACGUGCUGACGAGCGGCGAACGGGUGCGUAAUACAUGGGAAUCUGCCCUUUGGUGGGGAAUAACCCGGCGAAAGCCGGGCUAAUGCCGCAUGAGAUCUUCGGAUGAAAGCGGGGGAUCGUAAGACCUCGCGCCGAUGGAUGAGCCCAUGUCGGAUUAGCUAGUUGGUGAGGUAACGGCUCACCAAGGCGACGAUCCGUAGCUGGUCUGAGAGGACGGCCAGCCACACUGGGACUGAGACACGGCCCAGACUCCUACGAGAGGCAGCAGUGGGGAAUAUUGGACAAUGGGCGAAAGCCUGAUCCAGCGACGCCGCGUGUGUGAAGAAGGCCUGCGGGUUGUAAAGCACUUUCGAUGGGAACGAAAUGUGCCGGGCUAAUACCCCGGCAAGCUGACGUUACUCAAUGAAGAAGCACCGGCUAACUCUGUGCCAGCAGCCGCGGUAAUACAGAGGGUGCGAGCGUUA